GUGCCAGCAGCCGCGGUAAAACGUAGGACGCGAGCGUUAUCCGGAGUUACUGGGCGUAAAGGGCGGGCAGGCGGCUUGCUAAGACUGGUGUGAAAUGUCCCGGCUCAACCGGGAAGGGCCACUGGUGACUGGCGAGCUGGAGGGCGGUAGAGGAGCGUGGAAUUCCGGGUGGAGUGGUGAAAUGCGUAGAGAUCCGGAGGAACACCAGAGGCGAAAGCGGCGCUCCGGGCCGUACCUGACGCUGAACCGCGAAAGCCAGGGGAGCGAACGGGAUUAGAUACCCUGGUAGUCC
This 292-nucleotide ribosomal RNA is filed under the name uncultured bacterium. RNAcentral's name for it is "partial 16S ribosomal RNA". It matches the Rfam family "Bacterial small subunit ribosomal RNA", at positions 505 to 796 of the family's 1533-position model. The record is from RNAcentral.